Molecule: unclassified non-coding RNA, 337 nt
Filed under: soil metagenome
Description: partial contains 5.8S ribosomal RNA, internal transcribed spacer 2, and large subunit ribosomal RNA
Rfam family: 5.8S ribosomal RNA (bases 1-120)
Source: RNAcentral
GAUGAAGAACGUAGCGAAAUGCGAUAAGUAGUGUGAAUUGCAGAAUUCAGUGAAUCAUCGAAUCUUUGAACGCACAUUGCGCCCCAUGGUAUUCCGUGGGGCAUGCCUGUUCGAGCGUCAUUUACCCCCUCAAGCUCCGCUUGGUGUUGGGCGUCUGUCCCGCUUCGCGCGCGGACUCGCCCCAAAGGUAUUGGCAGCGGUCGUGCCAGCUUCUCGCGCAGCACAUUGCGCUUCUCGAGGCACCGGUGGGCCCGCGUCCAUCAAGCUCACCCCCCCAGUUUGACCUCGGAUCAGGUAGGGAUACCCGCUGAACUUAAGCAUAUCAAUAAGCAGAGGA